Molecule: ribosomal RNA, 503 nt
Filed under: uncultured bacterium
Lineage: Bacteria
Description: bacterial SSU rRNA
Rfam family: Bacterial small subunit ribosomal RNA
Source: RNAcentral
AGAGUUUGAUCCUGGCUCAGAUUGAACGCUGGCGGAAUGCUUUACACAUGCAAGUCGAACGGCAGCAUAGGUGCUUGCACCUGAUGGCGAGUGGCGAACGGGUGAGUAAUACAUCGGAACGUGCCCAGUCGUGGGGGAUAACGUAGCGAAAGUUACGCUAAUACCGCAUACGAUCUACGGAUGAAAGCGGGGGACCGUAAGGCCUCGCGCGAUUGGAGCGGCCGAUGUUAGAUUAGGUAGUUGGUGGGGUAAAGGCUCACCAAGCCGACGAUCUAUAGCUGGUCUGAGAGGAUGAUCAGCCACACUGGGACUGAGACACGGCCCAGACUCCUACGGGAGGCAGCAGUGGGGAAUAUUGCACAAUGGGCGCAAGCCUGAUGCAGCAACGCCGCGUGAGGGAUGACGGCCUUCGGGUUGUAAACCUCUUUUAGUUGGGAAGAAGCGAAAGUGACGGUACCAACAGAAAAAGCACCGGCUAACUACGUACGAGCAGCCGCGGUAAU